UAGAAAGAAGCUCGCUGGAUAGAGUAGUUAGUUGUUAACUAAUUGUUUGUGGGAUCAAGGCCCGCCUUUCUAG
This 73-nucleotide transfer RNA is filed under the name Leptobrachella alpina. RNAcentral's name for it is "tRNA-Asn". The record is from RNAcentral. Lineage: Eukaryota; Metazoa; Chordata; Amphibia; Anura; Megophryidae.